This is a long non-coding RNA of Hyaena hyaena (striped hyena), 401 nucleotides long. RefSeq lists it as uncharacterized. The transcript is spliced from 2 exons. Lineage: Eukaryota; Metazoa; Chordata; Mammalia; Carnivora; Hyaenidae. The record is from RefSeq and is a predicted model, not a curated record.
UUCAGGAGCAAAGCUGACCUCAUAAAAGGAAAUCAAACCAGCAGUAACCGCCACAAAUGCAGGAGCCAGAAGGACUUGGUUUUCAUGUUGCGACCCCAUGAGAGACAUCAUGUUUGGGGCAUUCUUACAAGCCAAUUUGCAAGACAGCCAGCUGCAGUGCUGGAGCAGAGAUGUUCUAGCUGGGGAACACAAGAAGCCAUGGCAACCAUGGGAACGAGGGCCGAUCUGCUGGCUUGGACAUCCUUUUCUUUCUUAGACAAGAUGGAAAGAUAUUGGAGGCAACAGACCAGUGAUAUUGCAGCCUUCCUCGGCCCCUCAGCUGAUUCUCAUAGAGGUUCAUUUGAGUUAAGGAACUUUCCUUUUAAAAUACAGGCAUGCUAUGCCAACUUAGUCACACCCUA